UACGAAGGGGGCUAGCGUUGUUCGGAAUUACUGGGCGUAAAGCGUUUGUAGGCGGUUAUUUAAGCCAGUGGUGAAAGCCCGGGGCUUAACCCCGGAAUUGCCAUUGGUACUGGAUAGCUAGAGAAUGUUAGAGGAAAGUGGAAUUCCUAGUGUAGGAGUGAAAUCCGUAGAGAUUAGGAGGAAUAUCGAUGGCGAAGGCAGCUUUCUGGGACAUUUCUGACGCUGAGAAACGAAAGCGUGGGUAGCAAACAGG
This 253-nucleotide ribosomal RNA is filed under the name uncultured bacterium. Its description in RNAcentral is "partial 16S ribosomal RNA". It matches the Rfam family "Bacterial small subunit ribosomal RNA", at positions 524 to 776 of the family's 1533-position model. The record is from RNAcentral.